CUGGUUCAGGAUGAACGCUGGCGGCGUGCCUAACACAUGCAAGUCGAACGAAGCAUAUCUAACGGAGAUUCGUCGAAGCUGGAUAUGACUUAGUGGCGGACGGGUGAGUAAUGUAUGAGCAACCUGCCUUUCAGAGGGGGACAACAGUUGGAAACGACUGCUAAUACCGCAUAAUGUAUUUGGGUGGCAUCACCUGGAUACCAAAGGAGCAAUCCGCUGAAAGAUGGGCUCAUAUCUGAUUAGCUUGUUGCGGGGUAACGGCCCACCAAGGCGACGAUCAGUAGCCGGACUGAGAGGUUGAACGGCCACAUUGGGACUGAGAUACGGCCCAGACUCCUACGGGAGGCAGCAGUGGGGAAUAUUGGGCAAUGGGCGAAAAAGCCUGACCCAGCAACGCCGCGUGAAGGAAGAAGGUCUUCGGAUUGUAAACUUCUUUUAUGAGGGACGAAGGACGUGACGGUACCUCAUGAAUAAGCCACGGCUAACUACGUGCCAGCCGCGGC
RNAcentral lists this ribosomal RNA (503 nucleotides) under uncultured bacterium. RNAcentral describes it as "bacterial SSU rRNA". It matches the Rfam family "Bacterial small subunit ribosomal RNA", at positions 19 to 518 of the family's 1533-position model. The record is from RNAcentral.